Molecule: long non-coding RNA, 1082 nt
Filed under: Pan troglodytes (chimpanzee)
Lineage: Eukaryota; Metazoa; Chordata; Mammalia; Primates; Hominidae
Description: long non-coding RNA NONPTRT010163
Source: RNAcentral
AUGCAUUCAAAGCAGUGUGUAAAGGGAAAUUUAUAGCACUAAAUGCCCACAAGAAAAAGCAGGAAAGAUCCAAAAUUGACACCCUAACAUCACAAUUAAAAGAACUAGAAAAGCAAGAGCAAACACAUUCAAAAGCUAGCAGAAGGCAAGAAAUAACUAAAAUCACAGCAGAACUGAAGGAAAUAGAGACACAAAACAGGACAUAGGCAUGGGCAAGGACUUCAUGUCUAAAACACCAAAAGAAAUGGCAACAAAAGCCAAAAUUGACAAAUGGGAUCUCAUUAAACUAAAGAGCUUCUGCACAGCAAAAGAAACUACCAUCAGAGUGAACAGGCAACCCACAAAAUGGGAGAAAAUUUUUGCAACCUACUCAUUUGACAAAGGGCUAAUAUCCAGAAUCUACAAUGAACUCAAUUAAAAAGUAUAAUGUACAAUUAAAGAUAUAAAAUUUAAAAGUAUAAUUAUAUAAAAUAAUAUUUUAUACAGCAAAGUUUGAAAGUAUUAUUUAUAUAACUAUCUUUUCCUGGGAUUAGUCUUAGAGAACUUUAAACUUUUAAAUUGAUCUUUGUAGUCUAUUCAUGUUUUCCGGCUUUUUGUUUUUAAACAUUUUGAGAAUUUGUUUAAAUAGUUAUAAGAAAGUGAAGAAAAUUAUAAAAUACCUUUUUAAUAUCCUUACUAUCAGCUUGGAAGAUCCAGUUGUUAAAUUUGUAGAAAGUUGGUGAGCUGGUUGUUAAACAGAGCCAUUAUUAAAAAUAAAAUUACAUAAAUUUACUAUUAAAUAAGUUAUAUUAAUAAAUGAAGGUAAUAAAUACUCAAAACUGAGCAAAAAAAAGAAAGGGUGUUACAGACGAUCCAUUUAAGCUCUGUCUGGCUUUCUGACCUACAGAACUUCAAGAUGAAAAAUGAGUGUUGAUUUAGCCCAUUAAGCUUAUGGUUGUUUGUUAAGCAGUAUCAGAAAACUAAUAGACGUUCUGAUGCCCAUAUCCACAAACAAGCUUCAGGCCAUUUUCAAGGUAAAUUUCCAUUUUUGGUCAUAUUCAUGCAUUUCUUAACCAUUCACUCUGUGUAAAAGUGUGCUACCU